AUGUUCUUACCCGGUGAUUAUCACGAACUUGACCAGGAGUUUCAAGUUCGUCAUUCUUCGUUAUUGUCUUCUCCGGUGGAUUUACCUCAAGCUUUCGGUGUUGAUCAUAUCUUUUCCUCGUUUCAAAUGCUAUCCCAUGCCGGUGCAUCUCAUAAUUGUUCACCUCUCUCUAUUAUCCGGAGUGCUCAAGAUAUCUUGGAAGAUUCGUGUUUCCAUUCUCAAUCCGUUCAAGUUAUUUUGAGGCUGUUAUCUCAUUCUAGUCAUUUAAUUCAACCGGUGCAAUCCCCCCUUUUCAAUCAAUCGUUCAAUGGUGUUUCUCUUGAGUGGGCCCUAACCCACAGGUCUUUUCCCAGGAUCUUACCUGACUCUUCCAAUUUUCCCGGAGCCAUUCCCAAAUUCAUUUCCAAGUUUGACAUAAGAAUGAUUUUCUCAUCAAUCAAAUGUUUCCUCCAAGAUCGCUUUCAAAAUAUUUUCAUCGUUGGUUCAUCAUUUCUAUUCUUCUUUGUUCCGAAGUGCCUCAGCAAUUUUGGGUGGUUCUCAUCAUCAUUCUCAACAUUUGAAGACCGAAGAAGAAGGAUUUCUCUUAAAUCUUGCUCCAUUCUCUUCAAGAUCCAUGGUUCUAGCUUGAUGCCAUCCUCUCAUAAUUGUUUUCGAUAG
RNAcentral lists this ribosomal RNA (657 nucleotides) under Triticum aestivum (bread wheat). RNAcentral's name for it is "partial small subunit ribosomal RNA". The record is from RNAcentral. Lineage: Eukaryota; Viridiplantae; Streptophyta; Magnoliopsida; Poales; Poaceae.